Molecule: RNA transcript, 690 nt
Organism: Mandrillus leucophaeus (drill)
Lineage: Eukaryota; Metazoa; Chordata; Mammalia; Primates; Cercopithecidae
Gene name: profilin-2 pseudogene
Exons: 1
Source: RefSeq, a predicted model, not a curated record
GCGCUGCAGUGCGAAGGGCUUGAAGACGGCCGGUUGGCAGAGCUACAUGGAUAAUCUGAUGUGCGAUGGCUGCUGUCAGGAGGCCGCCAUUGUCGGCUACUGCGAUGCCAAAUACGUACGGGCAGCCACGGCCGGGGGCAUCUCUCAGAGCAUUAUGCCAAUAGAAAUAGAUAUGAUUGUGGGAAAACACUGGGAAGGUUUCUUUACCAACUGUUUGACUCUUGGCGCGAAGAAAUGCUCAGUGAUCAGAGAUAGUCUAUACGUCGAUGGUGACUGCACAAUGGACAUCCGCACAAAGAGUCAAGGUGGGGAGCCAACAUACAAUGUUGCUGUCAGCAGAGCUGGUAGAGCACUGGUUAUAGUCAUGGGAAAGGAAGGUGUCGACGGAGGCACACUUAACAAGAAAGCAUAUGAAUUUGCUUUAUACCUGAGGAGGUCUGAAGUGUAAGCAGCCUCUCCCUAUCUCCUUAGCAACUGUCUUCAUCAACAACCCUAAUUGUGGUCACAAUGCUACCAAACUAUAGAUGGUAGCUAAUUUUUCUUUACCUAUUUUCUAAUGUCAUGAUUCCUGUUUGCCCAAUGGAUCAUUUGUAUGUUAACCACUGUAUGUAACCAACCCUUAUCUGGCAACAUAAUUGCAGCACAAUAAUGAUUUGCAUGAUACCUUGAAACUGGGGGGAGGGGGCAUGC